Molecule: long non-coding RNA, 1187 nt
Filed under: Homo sapiens (human)
Lineage: Eukaryota; Metazoa; Chordata; Mammalia; Primates; Hominidae
Description: HSALNT0234928
Source: RNAcentral
UCUAGGCCUGCGCGUCAUAGAAGGGGCCCAUUGCAGCCGUAUUAGGGGGAGCCUGGACAGCCUCCUCUGGCAGAGAGCUAGGAACAGCCUGGUUACAUUCUGAAGAUUUUAACUAGAAAAGUAGCAACAAAUGAAGUCAUCGGACACGUUAGGUGAAUAUAUCCUCCUACAGAAAAGCAAACCAAACUCAGCCAGGGUUCCUGAGGGUCAGCACUGUGGGGGAGGGAGGGCAUCGGGGGCUUCGCUGUUUGUCGAGACCCUCUUCCAGGAAAGUCACUGUUUAUGAGGCCUCAGCAAGAAUCUCAGACUUUUCAAAGGCCAUCUCUCAUUUUGGGUCCUGUGUUCUCAGUUUCACCACCUGAUAAUCCCUUUGCAUGGUCAGAGGAAAUCAGUCACUUUCUACAGCUCCCAGUGUUUCUGUUUUAGUCUCGCUAGCCAUGCAGCCAAAGUGAGUUUCAUCAACAUUUGUUGGGAGAAAAAAAAAAUCUCUAAAUUCCAUUAAAGAGUUUGAAUGUGGAAGGCGGACAGUUCAGUGCUAGGUUAUAAUAUUGUUUCAAAUUGACUUUGGCAAAUAUUUGGCAUACCUCUCCAUGAUAUUAUAGUGAUAGGUUUAUAGGUUUAUAGGUUUUAGAAUCUAAGAAUUUACCUCUUGGCUAUCUUACUGGAAUAUCUGGGAUGCAUUAUAGAUCUCUUGAUGAAGGAUGUGAAGGAAGUACAAACUGCCUUUUCUUCACCCAUUUUCAAUACGCAAAGACAGUUCAGCAUCUAAUUCCCUGGCCUUUGUUCCACCUUUCCAGUAGUUGACGUCCUGCCCUGUCUUACAGACCAGUCUAAUACACGCUCUGUUUGAGUGCAGUUACUGUAAACAGCGCAUCUCCUUGAUUGACCAUCAACAUCCGGUGGGCUCUUCUCAGCUUGUGUCUCAUGAUUUUAAAGAAAGGAAACCAGGUGGCCAGUGAGUGUAUUGCUGAGUUUAGCAGUCAAGAGUUUCCCACUUCAUAGCUCUAUCUGUAACUUCCAACACACUCUCCAAGCCCUCUCGUUUGUCUUAGAAAUAAAGGCAGUGCAUGUAGAAUGCCCAGGACGAUGCUUGGGAGCAUGGCCGCAGUCAACAUCACUGUCGCAAAUGCGAGGUAGGCUGUUAAUAAAGUUGAGAAAUCUUCCUGGACGCCAUGCAUGUUUCUUCU